Long non-coding RNA from Chroicocephalus ridibundus (black-headed gull), 331 nucleotides. RefSeq lists it as uncharacterized. Lineage: Eukaryota; Metazoa; Chordata; Aves; Charadriiformes; Laridae. The transcript is spliced from 3 exons. The record is from RefSeq and is a predicted model, not a curated record.
AUUUUUCUGGAGCUCGCCCAUCUGACCCAGUCCUCCACAUGAGAUCUGGCAAGAUAAUCGCUCCAAGCGUCUGGGGAGCAGCACCAGAAGCAUCUGCAGGGUGAGGAGAGUCUGUGCUGCAGUGGGUGGGGAGGACCUCGUCUCCAAGAACGCAAAAACCUCUGUUCCAUCUCUCUUCCCAAAACUCACCCUUCUGCCCAAAUCGCAAGGAGAAUGGCCGCCUCCUGCCUGCAGCCCGGGGGACGCCCUGUACAUCUCGGUCUGUGCUGGUCUGGCAGGAGCAGGGACUGAAACUCUUGGUUCCUCUUUCUCUUGGGCCGGAGGAUUGUCC